GGCUUGGUAGCUCAAUGGUAGGGCGUUGCUUUCCGGUCUCUCCUAGCACACUAUUAUAAUUGUGUGUUUGUCCGCUGGCAAAGGUUCUGGGUUCGAGUCCCAGCCGAGUCG
Parathielavia hyrcaniae is the source of this 111-nucleotide non-coding RNA. The record is from the annotation of a GenBank genome assembly. Lineage: Eukaryota; Fungi; Ascomycota; Sordariomycetes; Sordariales; Chaetomiaceae.